RNAcentral lists this ribosomal RNA (133 nucleotides) under Pseudoalteromonas porphyrae. RNAcentral's name for it is "partial 16S ribosomal RNA". It matches the Rfam family "Bacterial small subunit ribosomal RNA", at positions 1 to 124 of the family's 1533-position model. The record is from RNAcentral. Lineage: Bacteria; Pseudomonadati; Pseudomonadota; Gammaproteobacteria; Alteromonadales; Pseudoalteromonadaceae.
UUUAAUUGAAGAGUUUGAUCAUGGCUCAGAUUGAACGCUGGCGGCAGGCCUAACACAUGCAAGUCGAGCGGUAACAGAGAGUAGCUUGCUACUUUGCUGACGAGCGGCGGACGGGUGAGUAAUGCUUGGGAAU